AUACUUACCUGGCAAGGGAGAUACCAUGAUCAAGAAGGUGGCUCACCCAUAGCGAGGCUCAGCCAUUGCACUGAGGCUGUUGCUGACCCGUGCGAACGGCGAUGGACCGUGGCGACGUGCAAACC
Gadus morhua (Atlantic cod) is the source of this 125-nucleotide small nuclear RNA. Its record names the gene U1. It matches the Rfam family "U1 spliceosomal RNA". From Rfam's summary of the family: U1 is a small nuclear RNA (snRNA) component of the spliceosome (involved in pre-mRNA splicing). Its 5' end forms complementary base pairs with the 5' splice junction, thus defining the 5' donor site of an intron. Lineage: Eukaryota; Metazoa; Chordata; Actinopteri; Gadiformes; Gadidae. The record is from Ensembl.